Molecule: long non-coding RNA, 525 nt
Filed under: Cicer arietinum (chickpea)
Lineage: Eukaryota; Viridiplantae; Streptophyta; Magnoliopsida; Fabales; Fabaceae
Description: long non-coding RNA (CARI_LNC002153)
Source: RNAcentral
AAGACUAAAGAUGGGUCUGGGCCAGUUUGAGUUGAAUGAAAAGCCCAUGUGCGGAGCAGAAAGAGUUCCCAACUACUAUAAAACUCUUCUCAAUGCUUACCUCUCCAAUUAUCUUCCUCUUCUCAUCUUCUAGAAUUAGGGUUUUUAGCGGCGCAUCCAAAUUAUUCUUUUCAUUGUAUGAAUUCAUCUUUGUAACUUAUAUGUCUCUGUUAUAGAUCUUUUUUGUAGUCUUUGAAUUGUUGUGAUUUUGAUUUGUUGUGACGGGGGAUUUUAAUCCAAAUUCCCAACUUGAAUGGUGGCAAACUUAUACUGUGUUUGCAUGACUCCUAGUAAACGUCGCAUAAAAAUGUUUACUGACGUUGACGGUUUUCUCUCUUCGGAGAGAGUUCCUCCGUCGGUUUUUGUCUCAUAUUCCAUUGCCUUGUGGAGCAGCGUUGCUGCCUUUACUUCUUGGGACUGGCCAUGAGACACACAUCAUUAUUUAUCUGUUUUCACUUUUUUGUUAUAUAUACAAACAAAUACUAG